RNAcentral lists this ribosomal RNA (495 nucleotides) under uncultured bacterium. RNAcentral describes it as "partial 16S ribosomal RNA". It matches the Rfam family "Bacterial small subunit ribosomal RNA", at positions 28 to 507 of the family's 1533-position model. The record is from RNAcentral.
GACGAACGCUGGCGGCGUGCCUAAUACAUGCAAGUAGAACGCUGACGCGGGAGCUUGCUUCUCUGGAUGAGUUGCGAACGAGUGAGUAACGCGUAGGUAACCUGCCUGGUAGCGGGGGGUAACUAUUGGAAACGAUAGCUAAUACCGCAUAAGAGUAGAUGUUGCAUGACAUUUGCUUAAAAGUUGCAAUUGCAUCACUACCAGAUGGACCUGCGUUGUAUUAGCUAGUUGGUGGGGUAACGGCUCACCAAGGCGACGAUACAUAGCCGACCUGAGAGGGUGGUCGGCCAAACUGGGACUGAGACACGGGCCAGACUCCCACGGGGGGCAGCAGUAGGGGAUCUUCGGAAAUGGACGGAAGUCUUACCGAGCAACGCCGCGUGAGGGAAGAAGGUUUUCGGAUCGUAAAAGUCUGUUUUAAGAGAAGAACGCGUUUGAGGGUGAAAAGUUCACACUGUGACGGUACCUUACCAGAAAGGGACGGCUAACUACGUG